UAUAGUUUGAUUCUGGCUCAGAUUGAACGCUGGCGGCAGGCCUAACACAUGCAAGUCGAGCGGUAGAGAGAAGCUUGCUUCUCUUGAGAGCGGCGGACGGGUGAGUAAUGCCUAGGAAUCUGCCUAGUGGUGGGGGAUAACGUUCGGAAACGGACGCUAAUACCGCAUACGUCCUACGGGAGAAAGCGGGGGACCUUCGGGCCUCGCGCCAUUAGAUGAGCCUAGGUCGGAUUAGCUAGUUGGUGAGGUAAAGGCUCACCAAGGCGACGAUCCGUAACUGGUCUGAGAGGAUGAUCAGUCACACUGGAACUGAGACACGGUCCAGACUCCUACGGGAGGCAGCAGUGGGGAAUAUUGGACAAUGGGCGAAAGCCUGAUCCAGCCAUGCCGCGUGUGUGAAGAAGGUCUUCGGAUUGUAAAGCACUUUAAGUUGGGAGGAAGGGUAGUAACUUAAUACGUGUACUUGACGUACCGCAAAAACAC
This 483-nucleotide ribosomal RNA is filed under the name Pseudomonas anguilliseptica. RNAcentral's name for it is "bacterial SSU rRNA". It matches the Rfam family "Bacterial small subunit ribosomal RNA", at positions 1 to 493 of the family's 1533-position model. Lineage: Bacteria; Pseudomonadati; Pseudomonadota; Gammaproteobacteria; Pseudomonadales; Pseudomonadaceae. The record is from RNAcentral.